AACGAACGCUGGCGGCAUGCCUAACACAUGCAAGUCGAACGAGACCUUCGGAACUAGUGGCGCACGGGUGCGUAGCGCGUCGGAACCUUCCCUUAGGUUCGGAAUACCUCCCCGACAGGGGUGCUAAUACCGGAUAAUGUCUUCUGACCAAAGAUUUAUCGCGUUUGGAUGGGCCCGCGUUGGAUUAGCUAGUUGGUAGGGUAAAAGCCUACCAAGGCGACGAUCCAUAGCUGGGAUGAGAGGAUGAUCAGCGACACUGGGACUGAGACACGGCCCAGACUCUUACGGGAUGCAGCAGUGGGUAAUAUAGGAAAAUGGCCGAAGGCAUGAAGCAGCAAGGCUGCGAGAGUGAUGAAGUUCUGAGAGUUGUAAAGCUCUUUUACCCGGGAUGAUCAUGACGGUACCGGGAGAAUAAGCUCCGGCUAACUUCGUG
This 433-nucleotide ribosomal RNA is filed under the name uncultured bacterium. RNAcentral describes it as "partial 16S ribosomal RNA". It matches the Rfam family "Bacterial small subunit ribosomal RNA", at positions 29 to 507 of the family's 1533-position model. The record is from RNAcentral.